Molecule: ribosomal RNA, 253 nt
Filed under: uncultured bacterium
Lineage: Bacteria
Description: partial 16S ribosomal RNA
Rfam family: Bacterial small subunit ribosomal RNA
Source: RNAcentral
UACGUAGGGGGCUAGCGUUGUCCGGAAUCAUUGGGCGUAAAGAGCGUGUAGGCGGCCCGAUUAGUCCGCUGUGAAAGUCCAGGGCUCAACCCUGGAAUGCCGGUGGAUACUGUCGGGCUAGAGUCCGGAAGGGGCGAGUGGAAUUCCUGGUGUAGCGGUGAAAUGCGCAGAUAUCAGGAGGAACACCAAUGGCGAAGGCAGCUCGCUGGGACGUGACUGACGCUGAGACGCGAAAGCGUGGGGAGCAAACAGG